UAGGCAAUUCACUGGAGUCAUAUUGUGAAUUCUGCUAUGAAACAAUUGAAAUAGUAAUUAUGAAAAACUAGCAAUGAAAUUAUUGCAUCCUC
This is a long non-coding RNA of Alosa sapidissima (American shad), 92 nucleotides long. RefSeq lists it as uncharacterized. NCBI's taxonomy places the organism in Eukaryota, Metazoa, Chordata, Actinopteri, Clupeiformes, Clupeidae. The record is from RefSeq and is a predicted model, not a curated record. The transcript has 3 exons.